GCGUGCGGUAUAAGUUUAACCUGCCCGCCACUUUUACGGCCUCGUUUUAUAUGGGACUGCAUGUAAAUUGCAAUUGCGCCGGUAUCGUUAUCCCUCAACCCAUUAAGGACCGAGCCAGCGAAACAAUGCGAUUCUUACACAACUCUGGAUAGCUGGUUUUUGGCCGGAGGAACAUGACUGGCAUCGUCAUGGUGGUCUUCGUACGGAAACACGAGAGGAAAAAGAUGUUACUCGCUUGAUGAAGGAGGUAUCCCAAGAUGGCACACUAACUUAUAACAACAUAGAAGAGGUCUCACGAUCGAUCACACGAUGAAGCAGUUAAGAUAAAUUCCUCCGCGUCGGUCGCGGUCGUAAAUUCCUCGGACACGACUUUUGGAUCAGCCUGUAGGUAUCGGGACAGGGGAAUAGAGGGCGGAAUAUGAUGCGGUCUAUCCAGAUAUGUGAACGACGCAGAUAU
Molecule: non-coding RNA, 457 nt
Organism: Nomia melanderi (Alkali bee)
Lineage: Eukaryota; Metazoa; Arthropoda; Insecta; Hymenoptera; Halictidae
Source: RefSeq, a predicted model, not a curated record